GGAGAGGUGGCAGAGUGGUUGAAUGCGGCGCACUCGAAAUGCGUUAUGCCUUUGUAGGUAUCGGGGGUUCGAAUCCCCCCCUCUCCG
This 87-nucleotide transfer RNA is filed under the name Richelia intracellularis HH01. It matches the Rfam family "tRNA". From Rfam's summary of the family: Transfer RNA (tRNA) molecules are approximately 80 nucleotides in length. Their secondary structure includes four short double-helical elements and three loops (D, anti-codon, and T loops). Further hydrogen bonds mediate the characteristic L-shaped molecular structure. tRNAs have two regions of fundamental functional importance: the anti-codon, which is responsible for specific mRNA codon recognition, and the 3' end, to which the tRNAs corresponding amino acid is attached (by aminoacyl-tRNA synthetases). tRNAs cope with the degeneracy of the genetic code in two manners: having more than one tRNA (with a specific anti-codon) for a particular amino acid; and 'wobble' base-pairing, i.e. permitting non-standard base-pairing at the 3rd anti-codon position. The record is from Rfam by way of RNAcentral. Lineage: Bacteria; Bacillati; Cyanobacteriota; Cyanophyceae; Nostocales; Nostocaceae.